GUCCUUAUGAAUUUAAUUUAAGGUUUAACCUGCCCACUGAAAUUAUUUGAAGGGCCGCAGUAAUUUGACUGUGCAAAGGUAGCAUAAUCAUUAGUUUUUUAAUUAAAAGCUUGUAUGAAGGGUUGGACGAGGUAAAUUCUGUCUCUAUUUAAUUUAGUAUAGAAUUUAAUUUUUAAGUUAAAAAGCUUAAAUUUUUUUAAAAGACGAGAAGACCCUAUAGAUCUUUAUAUUAUUAAUAUUAAUUUUAAUUAAGAAUAUUUUAUUUUUUAAUAUUUAUAAUAUUUUAUUGGGGUAAUAAAAAGAUUAAUUUAAUUCUUUUUUUAUUUUAACAUUAAUUAAUGAUUAUAUGAUCCAGUUUUAUUGAUUAAAAGAUUAAGUUACCUUAGGGAUAACAGCGUAAUUUUUUUAGAGAGUUCAUAUCGAUAAAAAAGUUUGCGACCUCGAUGUUGGAUUAAAAAUUAUCUUAGGUGCAGAAGUUUAAGAUUUUGGUCUGUUCGACCAUUAAAUUUUUACAUGAUCUGAGUUCAGACCGGUGUAAGCCAGGUCGGUUUCUAUCUUUAAUAAAAUAUAAUAUUUUAGUACGAAAGGACCAAAUAUUUAAUAUAUUUAUAUUUUAAUUUUUGAAUAU
Molecule: ribosomal RNA, 628 nt
Filed under: Agabus nebulosus
Lineage: Eukaryota; Metazoa; Arthropoda; Insecta; Coleoptera; Dytiscidae
Description: partial 16S ribosomal RNA
Rfam family: Bacterial large subunit ribosomal RNA
Source: RNAcentral